AUUGAACGCUGGCGGCGUGCCUAACACAUGCAAGUCGAGCGGUAACAGGUGUAGCAAUACAUGCUGACGAGCGGCGAACGGGUGAGUAAUGCUUCGGAAUCUGCCCAUGUAGUGGGGAAUAACCAGCCGAAAGGUUGGCUAAUACCGCAUACGACCUACGGGUGAAAGCAGGGGAUCGCAAGACCUUGCGCUAUUGGAUGAGCCGAAGUCGGAUUAGCUGUUGGUAGGGUAACGGCCUACCAAGGCGACGAUCCGUAGCUGGUCUGAGAGGACGACCAGCCACACUGGGACUGAGACACGGCCCAGACUCCUACGGGAGGCAGCAGUGGGGAAUAUUGGACAAUGGGGCAACCUGAUCCAGCGACGCCGCGUGUGUGAAGAAGGCCUGCGGGUUGUAAAG
RNAcentral lists this ribosomal RNA (400 nucleotides) under uncultured bacterium. Its description in RNAcentral is "bacterial SSU rRNA". It matches the Rfam family "Bacterial small subunit ribosomal RNA", at positions 30 to 430 of the family's 1533-position model. The record is from RNAcentral.